This 468-nucleotide ribosomal RNA is filed under the name uncultured bacterium. RNAcentral's name for it is "partial 16S ribosomal RNA". It matches the Rfam family "Bacterial small subunit ribosomal RNA", at positions 28 to 507 of the family's 1533-position model. The record is from RNAcentral.
GACGAACGCUGGCGGCGUGCUUAACACAUGCAAGUCGAACGGAAAGGCCCUGCUUUUGUGGGGUGCUCGAGUGGCGAACGGGUGAGUAACACGUGAGUAACCUGCCCUUGACUUUGGGAUAACUUCAGGAAACUGGGGCUAAUACCGGAUAGGAGCUCCUGCUGCAUGGUGGGGGUUGGAAAGUUUCGGCGGUUGGGGAUGGACUCGCGGCUUAUCAGCUUGUUGGUGGGGUAGUGGCUUACCAAGGCUUUGACGGGUAGCCGGCCUGAGAGGGUGACCGGCAACAUUGGGACUGAGAUACGGCCCAGACUCCUACGGGAGGCAGAUGUGGGGAAUAUUGCACAAUGGGCGGAAGCCUGAUGCAGCAACGCCGCGUGCGGGAUGACGGCCUUCGGGUUGUAAACCGCUUUCGCCUGUGACGAAGCGUGAGUGACGGUAAUGGGUAAAGAAGCACCGGCUAACUACGUG